RNAcentral lists this ribosomal RNA (468 nucleotides) under uncultured bacterium. RNAcentral's name for it is "partial 16S ribosomal RNA". It matches the Rfam family "Bacterial small subunit ribosomal RNA", at positions 31 to 507 of the family's 1533-position model. The record is from RNAcentral.
GAAGAACGAUGGAGGCGUGCUUAACACAUGCAAGUCGAACGGAAAGGCCCUGCUUUUGUGGGGUGCUCGAGUGGCGAACGGGUGAGUAACACGUGAGUAACCUGCCCUUGACUUUGGGAUAACUUCAGGAAACUGGGGCUAAUACCGGAUAGGAGCUCCUGCUGCAUGGUGGGGGUUGGAAAGUUUCGGCGGUUGGGGAUGGACUCGCGGCUUAUCAGCUUGUUGGUGGGGUAGUGGCUUACCAAGGCUUUGACGGGUAGCCGGCCUGAGAGGGUGACCGGCCACAUUGGGACUGAGAUACGGCCCAGACUCCUACGGGAGGCAGCAGUGGGGAAUAGUGCACAAGGGGCGGAAGCCUGAUGCAGCAACGCCGCGUGCGGGAUGACGGCCUUCGGGUUGUAAACCGCUUUCGCCUGUGACGAAGCGUGAGUGACGGUAAUGGGUAAAGAAGCACCGGCUAACUACGUG